Macaca fascicularis (crab-eating macaque) is the source of this 148-nucleotide unclassified non-coding RNA. It matches the Rfam family "Metazoan signal recognition particle RNA". From Rfam's summary of the family: The signal recognition particle (SRP) is a universally conserved ribonucleoprotein. It is involved in the co-translational targeting of proteins to membranes. Lineage: Eukaryota; Metazoa; Chordata; Mammalia; Primates; Cercopithecidae. The record is from Ensembl.
GCUAGGUGCAGUGGCGCACACCUGUAGUCCUAGCUACUUGGGAGGCUGGGGCAGGAGGAUCACUUGAGCCCAGGAGGUCGAGGCUGCAGUGAGCUAUGAUCAUGCCACUGCAGUCCAGCCUGGGCAACAAAGUAAGCUCCUGUCUCAA